Long non-coding RNA from Eriocheir sinensis (Chinese mitten crab), 3287 nucleotides. RefSeq lists it as uncharacterized. The transcript is spliced from 9 exons. The record is from RefSeq and is a predicted model, not a curated record. Lineage: Eukaryota; Metazoa; Arthropoda; Malacostraca; Decapoda; Varunidae.
UGUGUGUGUUUGGGAGGGUAUGCAUAUGUGUUUUAGAAGGGAACGUGUGUGUGUGUGUGUGUGUGUGUGUGUGUGUGUGUGCUCUCGCUCGCGGGGUCGACCUUGGAGAUGUGAAAAUUGCCGAACACCGGAUAGAGACAGGCUUGCAUCACUACACACACACACACACACACACACACACAAAGAAGGCAUGCCAGACUCGAGAUAGAUGCCGUUUGAGGGAAGGUUAAAAGCAUAAAAGAACAUCUGCAUUACGUUCACCCGAGAGAGAGAGAGAGAGAGAGAGAGAGAGAGAGAGAGAGAGAGAGAGAGAGAGAGAGAGAGAGAGAGAUUUACGAAAUAAUACAAAAAAAAAACUCGUCUGGAAACCUUGAAAUUAUAAAAGAUGUAAUGCUUUUAAAUGCGAAGAAAGGCUGUGAGGAGCAUAUAAAACAGACGUGUGGCAUGACCUGGAGGCGUGUGUGUGUGUGUGUGUGUGUGUGUGUGUGUGUGUGUGUGCUUCCUGGAAAGGGCAGGAUGGAAGCAGAUAUACCGGGUUGGGGCAGCGCGACCAUAACUCAAAGCGCGACAUUGUAUUAUGAUGUUAAGUAAAUGUGUGUGUGUGUGUGUGUGUGUGUGUGUGUGUGCGCGCUUCGAUUUCAUUUUGUUAUUAUUUUAUCCUCAUUUUUAUCAUUAUUAUUAUAUUGCAGAGUUUUUUUUAUAAUUAUCCUCCCUUUUUCCUACUAUUACUAUCGUUGUUACAUAUACAAACGAUCAAAGAAGACAAGACUUAUAAGUGUAAAUAGUAGUAGUAGUAGUAGUAGUAGUAGUAGUAGUAGUAGUAGUAGUAGUAAUAAUAAUAAUAGUAAUAGUAACAAUAAUAAUAUCGAAUCUCUUCCCACUUCAUUAUAUUUUAUGUGCAGCUUGCGUUAUGUAAAUAGGAAACCUUUGAAGCUUUUUAUAUAACAAAGGAUGAAUAAUGCAAAUGGGAAGUUGUUGGAUAGAUAAUGGAGAUGAUGAGUGGGAGAGAAUGUGAAGGUGAACAGAAAGAUGACGAAUGAAUGCGAAGGUGAACAGAAAGGUGACUGAAGGAUGCGAAGGUGAACAGAAAGGUGACUGAAGGAUGCGAAGGUGAACAGAAAGGUGACUGAAGGAUGGGAAGGUGAACAGAAAGGUGACUGAAGGAUGCGAAGGUGAACAGAAAGGUGACUGAAGGAUGCGAAGGUGAACAGAAAGGUGACUGAAGGAUGCGAAGGUGAACAGAAAGGUGACUGAAGGAUGGGAAGGUGAACAGAAAGGUGACUGAAGGAUGGGAAGGUGAACAGAAAGGUGACUGAAGGAUGGGAAGGUGAACAGAAAGGUGACUGAAGGAUGGGAAGGUGAACAGAAAGGUGACUGAAAGAUGGGAAGGUGAACAGAAAGGUGACUGAAGGAUGGGAAGGUGAACAGAAAGGUGACUGAAAGAUGGGAAGGUGAACAGAAAGGUGACUGAAGGAUGCGAAGGUGAACAGAAAGGUGACUGAAGGAUGGGAAGGUGAACAGAAAGGUGACUGAAAGAUGGGAAGGUGAACAGAAAGGUGACUGAAGGAUGGGAAGGUGAACAGAAAGGUGACUGAAGGAUGCGAAGGUGAACAGAAAGGUGACUGAAGGAUGGGAAGGUGAACAGAAAGGUGACUGAAGGAUGGGAAGGUGAACAGAAAGGUGACUGAAAGAUGGGAAGGUGAACAGAAAGGUGACUGAAGGAUGGGAAGGUGAACAGAAAGGUGACUGAAGGAUGGGAAGGUGAACAGAAAGGUGACUGAAAGAUGGGAAGGUGAACAGAAAGGUGACUGAAAGAUGCGAAGGUGAACAGAAAGGUGACUGAAGGAUGGGAAGGUGAACAGAAAGGUGACUGAAGGAUGGGAAGGUGAACAGAAAGGUGACUGAAGGAUGGGAAGGUGAACAGAAAGGUGACUGAAGGAUGCGAAGGUGAACAGAAAGGUGACUGAAGGAUGGGAAGGUGAACAGAAAGGUGACUGAAGGAUGGGAAGGUGAACAGAAAGGUGACUGAAGGAUGGGAAGGUAAACAGAAAGGUGACUGAAGGAUGGGAAGGUGAACAGAAAGGUGACUGAAGGAUGGGAAGGUGAACAGAAAGGUGACUGAAAGAUGGGAAGGUGAACAGAAAGGUGACUGAAGGAUGGGAAGGUGAACAGAAAGGUGACUGAAAGAUGCGAAGGUGAACAGAAAGGUGACUGAAAGAUGGGAAGGUGAACAGAAAGGUGACUGAAGGAUGCGAAGGUGAACAGAAAGGUGACUGAAGGAUGCGAAGGUGAACAGAAAGGUGACUGAAGGAUGCGAAGGUGAACAGAAAGGUGACUGAAAGAUGGGAAGGUGAACAGAAAGGUGACUGAAGGAUGGGAAGGUGAACAGAAAGGUGACUGAAGGAUGGGAAGGUGAACAGAAAGGUGACUGAAAGAUGGGAAGGUGAACAGAAAGGUGACUGAAAGAUGGGAAGGUGAACAGAAAGGUGACUGAAAGAUGGGAAGGUGAACAGAAAGGUGACUGAAGGAUGGGAAGGUGAACAGAAAGGUGACUGAAAGAUGGGAAGGUGAACAGAAAGGUGACUGAAGGAUGGGAAGGUGAACAGAAAGGUGACUGAAGGAUGGGAAGGUGAACAGAAAGGUGACUGAAGGAUGCGAAGGUGAACAGAAAGGUGACUGAAGGAUGGGAAGGUGAACAGAAAGGUGACUGAAGGAUGGGAAGGUGAACAGAAAGGUGACUGAAGGAUGGGAAGGUGAACAGAAAGGUGACUGAAGGAUGGGAAGGUGAACAGAAAGGUGACUGAAGGAUGGGAAGGUGAACAGAAAGGUGACUGAAAGAUGGGAAGGUGAACAGAAAGGUGACUGAAGGAUGGGAAGGUGAACAGAAAGGUGACUGAAGGAUGGGAAGGUGAACAGAAAGGUGACUGAAGGAUGCGAAGGUGAACAGAAAGAUGACGAAUGUGAGGAAACAAAGAGAGAUGGGGAGGAAACUAAGAUGAUUGAUGAUGAAAGACAGGCUGGUAUAUCAUUAGUUUCAUUAAUAGUUUCUUUCUUCGUUCUUUAUCGUUUUUUUUUUUCUUCUGCUUACUCACUUUCUUGCUUUAUAUUAUGAGUAAGAUUAACAGUUUAGCUUCAUUCUUCUUUUUCUUUUAUAUAUUUUUUUUCUUCCUUCCCUCUUUUUUGCCUACUCUUUUCCUUCCCUUUUCUUUUCAUUCUUCAUUAUUUUAUCUUUCUAUCUCCGCCCUUUGUUGUGGCUGAUCGGAAAGGGUAAAAAAAAAAAAAAGAUA